AUCAUUAGUGGAAAUUCAUAGAAACAAAUAGCUAUAAUCGAAUGGAAUAUCUAAUGUUUUUAGUGUCCUCUAGGGGCUACUAGGAAUAUGGCAACCUACUGAAAUACUGAGAUACUUACACAUGUGCAGAUCAGGGAAGGAAACAGUACAAGAAUACUACUAUAUAGUGAACAUAAAUAUUACACAAGGAAUCAUAUCAUCACCUUUUGGGUGCAUUUUAACCCAUUCAAUAGAUAUGUCCUUGUAUGUUUAAGAGCAGCGCUACUAUCAAGAUAUUUAAAUAUAUCAUUUAGCCUGAAAAUAUAAUGAAUAAAUUAACAAUUCCAAAACUAUUCUCUACCCAGGAUCAAAAUAGCAUUAAGAAAAACUAGUCCCAAAGUUAAAAUAUCAUUACCUUUGAAUCCAGAGAUUCUAAUGUUACUUGAUUGACCCCAAAGAAGGUCAUUAAUGGAAAGAAAGGCACCUAAUAUAUCAAAAUACUGGAAAAUAUUUGCUGGGGAUGGGGAAAUAGACGCCCAUCAUUUGGGGAAUGCAUAAACUAAUUGUGGUACAGGAAUGUCAUGGUAGGGGUGGUUUUAGUUUUAUGUGGGCUACUAAUGAGUGCCUGCAGAUUGUCAAACCUCUCUCCUAUCAAUUAUUAUGCCUAUGCAUUGCUGGGGUAAAAGUCCUGUUUUGCUUCUCUAUGAGUAUGGGCAGGAUCCUCUUUGUCCAUUUCUUCUUUUUGCCAUUGCCCACUCAUUCUUCCUCUCUUUCUGUGGAUAUUCCUAUCCAGCAUCCAAUAUACUGACUGGUUCCAAGGGCAGAUGAACUAGGUAUGUCUUCCAAGGGGGUAUAAUCAUUUAUCUUUUCACAAAAUUUAGAUAACCCAACCUGGAAUGAUCAGGAGAGAGAGAGAAAAGUUAUUCAAUCACAGGUCAUUCUUGAGGUCCAAUUCUACAGAAAGCCUUCCAGAAUUCCUGGCCUAGUGACUGUGGCAGAGCUAUGGAGAUAGAAGAUGAGAAACUUCGACUACUGCCAGGAGAUUGGAGCUACAAGGGCUGGCCAUCCUACUCUUUUUAAGAAUUCCAAAUCAUUUCCCCACCCAGAGAAAGCAAGAGAAGGUAAGAAAAAGAGAAGUCGUUAGUAAUAUGUAUCGUCAUACCAAAUGAAUUUCCACAUUAACCAUGUUUCCCUCUACCCCAUUUCCAAAAAAAAAAAAAAAAGACAGAAAAAGAGAAGAAAUAAAAUAACAUAUGUUUUAUUCAAUACCUUGAGUCCAUCAGUUCUCUAUCUGGAGGGGAAUAGCAUGUUUCCUCUUACGUCCUUUGGAAUUGUGGUGAGUCAUUAUGUUGCUCAAAGUUACUAAGUUUUCACAGUUGACUAUGCAAUAUUGUCCCAUUACUGUACAAAUUAUAUAACUGGUAUUAUUCACUUUGUUUUGAAUAACUUCAUAUAAAUCUUCCCAGAUUUUUCUGACACCAUUCCCUUUAUAAUAUCUUAGAACACAAAAACAUGCCAUCACAUUCACA
Molecule: long non-coding RNA, 1508 nt
Organism: Antechinus flavipes (yellow-footed antechinus)
Lineage: Eukaryota; Metazoa; Chordata; Mammalia; Dasyuromorphia; Dasyuridae
Exons: 3
Source: RefSeq, a predicted model, not a curated record